Molecule: ribosomal RNA, 785 nt
Filed under: uncultured bacterium
Lineage: Bacteria
Description: bacterial SSU rRNA
Rfam family: Bacterial small subunit ribosomal RNA
Source: RNAcentral
GUCGAGGGGAACGGCAUCAAGCGCUUGCGCCUGAUGGACGUCGACCGGCGCACGGGUGAGUAACGCGUAUCCAACCUGCCCCACACUAAGGGACAACCCGCAGAAAUGUGGGCUAAUACCUUAUAUUUUCCACCAAGGGCAUCGUCGAUGGAACAAAGAUUUAUCGGUAUGGGAUGGGGAUGCGUCCGAUUAGGUUGUUGGCGGGGUAACGGCCCACCAAGCCAUCGAUCGGUAGGGGUUCUGAGAGGAAGGUCCCCCACAUAGGAACUGAGACACGGUCCUAACUCCUACGGGAGGCAGCAGUGAGGAAUAUUGGUCAAUGGGCGGGAGCCUGAACCAGCCAAGUAGCGUGCAGGAAGACGGCCCUAUGGGUUGUAAACUGCUUUUAUGCGGGGAUAAAGGAGUCCACGUGUGGGCUUUUGCAGGUACCGCAUGAAUAAGGACCGGCUAAUUCCGUGCCAGCAGCCGCGGUAAUACGGAAGGUCCGGGCGUUAUCCGGAUUUAUUGGGUUUAAAGGGAGCGUAGGCCGCGUUUUAAGCGUGUUGUGAAAUGUAGGCGCCCAACGUCUGCAUCGCAGCGCGAACUGGAACGCUUGAGUACGCGCAACGUUGGCGGAAUUCGUCGUGUAGCGGUGAAAUGCUUAGAUAUGACGAAGAACUCCGAUUGCGAAGGCAGCUGACGGGAGCGGCACUGACGCUUAAGCUCGAAGGUGCGGGUAUCAAACAGGAUUAGAUACCCUGGUAGUCCGCACGGUAAACGAUGGAUGCUCGCUGUGUGCCUUUUGU